This 580-nucleotide long non-coding RNA is filed under the name Eucalyptus grandis. Its description in RNAcentral is "long non-coding RNA (EGRA_LNC000121)". Lineage: Eukaryota; Viridiplantae; Streptophyta; Magnoliopsida; Myrtales; Myrtaceae. The record is from RNAcentral.
ACAACUUCAAAUUAUUUUUCCUGACUUCAAUUGAUCAUGUCUCCCGCGGGAUCCAAUCGUGAACUUAUCUCAAAGACUGGUCUCCAAAAUGCUUGCACGCUACCAUGAUUGGGUCAGCAGACAAAGAGUAGAGGGCAUGACGAGAGGCAGAUGGUUCAGGCAAGUCCCCCUGUUGUACGUGAGAAACUUAAAAAAAAAAGAGAGAGAGAAAAAUGUGUUCCCGAGAGAGUAAUUAAAACAGAUAAAAAUGCCAAGGAAUGUACCUCCUUUGAGAGCCAACCUAUUGAUCGGCAAAGUAAUUCAAUUGCUGCAGUGGAAAAGACAACGGAAUUUACAUCAUCUGGGCCUGACUGUAAUGAAGUUGAUUGUUGUUCUCAAGACGUCUAGCAUUGGAAAUGUUUGACAAUGGCGUUCAUGUUCACGCAUCAUCAAAUGCUUUUUGGAAAAUCCCUUGCAGUGCAAAGGGUAAGAUACUUCAAGUAGCUUUCAUACACUUGCAGCCACGUUCCCCAGUCAGGAAGCCAUCCCUAUGUUAUUUGCACGUAAGAAGCUGAGCAAAUAAACCAAAUGUGUAAUCGAC